GGGGUCAACUCGGAGGAAGGUGGGGAUGACGUCAAAUCAUCAUGCCCCUUUAUGUCUUGGGCUUUCAACGGCAUGCUACAAUGGCCGGUACAGAGGGCUGCAAUACCGCAAGGUGGAGCGAAUCCCAAAAAGCCGGUCUCAGUUCGGAUUGAGGUCUGCAACUCGACCUCAUGAAGUCGGAGUCGCUAGUAAUCGCAGAUCAGCAACGCUGCGGUGAAUACGUUCCCGGGCCUUGUACACACCGCCCGUCAAGUCACGA
Molecule: ribosomal RNA, 259 nt
Filed under: uncultured Actinomycetes bacterium
Lineage: Bacteria; Bacillati; Actinomycetota; Actinomycetes
Description: uncultured actinobacterium partial 16S ribosomal RNA
Rfam family: Bacterial small subunit ribosomal RNA
Source: RNAcentral